AACCAACAGGGAUUACCUCAGUAACGGCGAGUGAAGCGGUAACAGCUCAAAUUUGAAAUCUGCCUACAGGCCGAGUUGUAAUUUGUAGAAGAUGCUUCGGGUGUGGCUCCGGUCUAAGUUCCUUGGAACAGGACGUCAUAGAGGGUGAGAAUCCCGUAUGUGACUGGGUGCCUAUGCCUAUGUGAAGCUCUUUCGACGAGUCGAGUUGUUUGGGAAUGCAGCUCAAAAUGGGUGGUAUAUUUCAUCUAAAGCUAAAUAUUGGCUAGAGACCGAUAGCGCACAAGUAGAGUGAUCGAAAGAUGAAAAGCACUUUGGAAAGAGAGUUAAACAGUACGUGAAAUUGUUGAAAGGGAAGCGCUUGCAACCAGACUUGCACUUUACUGAUCAUCCGGCGUUUUCACCGGUGCACUCAGUCUUGUUCAGGCCAGCAUCGGUUUUGGUGGUUGGAUAAAGGCCUUAGGAAUGUAGCUUCCUCGGGAGUGUUAUAGCCUAAGGUGCAAUGCAGCCUACCGGGACCGAGGACCGCGCUUCGGCUAGGAUGCUGGCGUAAUGGUUGUAAGCGACCCGUCUUGAAACACGGACCAAGGAGUCUAACAUCUAUGCGAGUAUUUGGGUGUCAAACCCAUAUGCGUAAUGAAAGUGAACGGAGGUGAGAGCUUCGGCGCAUCAUCGACCGAUCCUGAUGUCUUCGGAUGGAUUUGAGUAAGAGCAUAGCUGUUGGGACCCGAAAGAUGGUGAACUAUGCCUAAAUAGGGUGAAGCCAGAGGAAACUCUGGUGGAGGCUCGCAGCGGUUCUGACGUGCAAAUCGAUCGUCAAAUUUGGGUAUAGGGGCGAAAGACUAAUCGAACCAUUGUAAAUAUACACUGCAGGAACAGUGCUAGGUGGUUGAGAGAUCACUGAGAGGUAAAUCUAGUC
RNAcentral lists this ribosomal RNA (916 nucleotides) under Neocrinula lambertiae. RNAcentral describes it as "eukaryotic LSU rRNA". It matches the Rfam family "Eukaryotic large subunit ribosomal RNA", at positions 63 to 1019 of the family's 3401-position model. Lineage: Eukaryota; Fungi; Ascomycota; Leotiomycetes; Helotiales; Neocrinulaceae. The record is from RNAcentral.